RNAcentral lists this ribosomal RNA (373 nucleotides) under uncultured organism. RNAcentral describes it as "partial 16S ribosomal RNA". It matches the Rfam family "Bacterial small subunit ribosomal RNA", at positions 526 to 896 of the family's 1533-position model. The record is from RNAcentral.
AGAGGGGUGCAAGCGUUAAUCGGAAUUACUGGGCGUAAAGGGCGCGUAGGUGGUUGAUUAAGUUAGAUGUGAAAUCCCUAGGGCUUAACCUAGGACGUGCAUUUAAAACUGGUUGACUAGAGUUUGGGAGAGGGAAGUGGAAUUUUCGGUGUAGCGGUGAAAUGCGUAGAUAUCGGAAGGAACAUCAGUGGCGAAGGCGACUUCCUGGACCAAUACUGACACUGAGGCGCGAAAGCGUGGGUAGCGAACAGGAUUAGAUACCCUGGUAGUCCACGCAGUAAACGAUGAGAACUAGAUGUUAGGGAGCUUGACUUCUUAGUAUCGCAGCUAACGCAUUAAGUUCUCCGCCUGAGGAGUACGGUCGCAAAGAUUA